GACGAACGCUGGCGGCGUGCCUAAUACAUGCAAGUUGAGCGCUGAAGGUUGGUACUUGUACCAACUGGAUGAGCAGCGAACGGGUGAGUAACGCGUGGGGAAUCUGCCUUUGAGCGGGGGACAACAUUUGGAAACGAAUGCUAAUACCGCAUAAAAACUUUAAACACAAGUUUUAAGUUUGAAAGAUGCAAUUGCAUCACUCAAAGAUGAUCCCGCGUUGUAUUAGCUAGUUGGUGAGGUAAAGGCUCACCAAGGCGAUGAUACAUAGCCGACCUGAGAGGGUGAUCGGCCACAUUGGGACUGAGACACGGCCCAAACUCCUACGGGAGGCAGCAGUAGGGAAUCUUCGGCAAUGGACGAAAGUCUGAACGAGCAACGCCGCGUGAGUGAAGAAGGUUUUCGGAUCGUAAAACUCUGUUGGUAGAGAAGAACGUUGGUGAGAGUGGAAAGCUCAUCAAGUGACGGUAACUACACAGAAAGGGACGGCUAACUACGUG
This 497-nucleotide ribosomal RNA is filed under the name uncultured bacterium. RNAcentral's name for it is "partial 16S ribosomal RNA". It matches the Rfam family "Bacterial small subunit ribosomal RNA", at positions 28 to 507 of the family's 1533-position model. The record is from RNAcentral.